UACGUAGGGUGCAAGCGUUGUCCGGAAUUAUUGGGCGUAAAGGGUUCGUAGGCGGAACCGUAAGUCAAGUGUGAAAUCCCCGAGCUUAACUUGGGACGUGCACCUGAAACUGCGAUUCUUGAAUAUUGGAGAGGAUAGUGGAAUUGCUGGUGUAGGAGUGACAUCCGUGGAGAUCAGCAGGAACACCAGAGGCGAAAGCGACUAUCUGGCCGAUUAUUGACGCUGAGGAACGAAAGCGUGGGGAGCAAACAGG
RNAcentral lists this ribosomal RNA (253 nucleotides) under uncultured bacterium. RNAcentral's name for it is "partial 16S ribosomal RNA". It matches the Rfam family "Bacterial small subunit ribosomal RNA", at positions 524 to 776 of the family's 1533-position model. The record is from RNAcentral.